RNAcentral lists this ribosomal RNA (226 nucleotides) under uncultured bacterium. RNAcentral describes it as "partial 16S ribosomal RNA". It matches the Rfam family "Bacterial small subunit ribosomal RNA", at positions 538 to 763 of the family's 1533-position model. The record is from RNAcentral.
GCGUUGUUCGGAUUCAUUGGGCGUAAAGGGUGUGUAGGUGGCGCCGUAAGUCGGGUGUGAAAUCUCGGGGCUUAACUCCGAAACUGCAUUCGAUACUGCGGUGCUUGAGGACUGGGGAGGAGACUGGAAUUCAUGGUGUAGCAGUGAAAUGCGUAGAGAUCAUGAGGAAGACCAGUGGCGAAGGCGGGUCUCUGGACAGUUCCUGACACUGAGACACGAAGGCCAG